UCCGGCUUGACGCCGGCAGUCCCCCGAGAGUCCUCAGCAUUACCUGUUAGUAACACGGGGCAAGGGUUGCGCUCGUUGCGGGACUUAACCCAACAUCUCACGACACGGGCUGACGACAGCCAUGCAGCACCUGUGCACGAGCUCCGAAGAGGGGUCGCUGUUUCCAGCGACUUUCCCGUGCAUGUCAAGCCCAGGUAAGGUUCUUCGCGUUGCGUCGAAUUAAACCACAUGCUCCACCGCUUGUGCGGGCCCCCGUCAAUUCCUUUGAGUUUUAGCCUUGCGGCCGUACUCCCCAGGCGGGGCGCUUAAUGCGUUAGCUACGGCACGGAACCCGUGGAAUGGAUCCCACACCUAGCGCCCAACGUUUACGGUGUGGACUAC
RNAcentral lists this unclassified non-coding RNA (381 nucleotides) under uncultured bacterium. RNAcentral's name for it is "contains 16S-23S intergenic spacer region". The record is from RNAcentral.